Papaver somniferum (opium poppy) is the source of this 1389-nucleotide long non-coding RNA. RefSeq lists it as uncharacterized. Lineage: Eukaryota; Viridiplantae; Streptophyta; Magnoliopsida; Ranunculales; Papaveraceae. The record is from RefSeq and is a predicted model, not a curated record. The transcript is spliced from 5 exons.
GGAUGUUUAAGAUUUUGUGAGAGAAAAAAAAGGAAAUUAGUUUUCUUCUUCCGUAGGAUUAAAUCAGGUCAGAUUCUUAGGAGAAUUUUUCUGAAAGAAGAAACCAAAGAACAAAACUCAAUCUUCUUUUCAGUUAACCCCAAAUAUCUUUGAGCGGCAUGAAAAUCAAAUAAAAAAAUCUUUUGGACGAGAUUAUUCCCGCUUGGUAUGAAUCUGUGCAACUAAAAGCCCCAAAAUCAUGAAGAAUUGCAUCCAAUUUCAUCUCCAUCCUAUGAGUUUCUGAUUUGACUACACACGAGAAUCUGAGUGGAGAGUCAGACUAUGAUGGGUAUGCUGACUAAAGCCUUGCAUAAUUUGAAGGAUAGUUAAAGGGUCAAGGAGAUGAAAGUUAUGGUGAUAGCACCAGUUCUGAUGGAUCUAUCAAAAUUUUGACCAUCUUGAUUGUUGCGGGUUUUUAAACUCAGAGGGAAUGAUGAACAUGAAGGCAUCGAGACUACCAAGGAUCUUCUGCAUCUACACAUCACUCAGCUCCUGCAACUACACAAGGAUCUCGUGCAUCUAGCCAGCAUUAAAAUGGAUUUACACCAUCGUAUUCUUUUCCUACUAAGAAAUCUCCUACUUGAGAGAAGUCUACUAUGCCUGAUUCCCCUAUUAGACACACUUCUCCAACUGAAACGCAGGAAUAUGAUACAGCUAAACAAAUGUAUCUUGCAUCUAAGCAUCAGUCCUCUAACUCUCAACAUGCAUCUCAGUCGAUGGCAUCUAAAAAACUGAACUCCCAAUGACUUGAAAAUGGACACUGGCCUAUAACACAUUGGUACUGUUCUUCCAUCAGUGUCAGAUCAGGAAAUACACGGAGUUCUAAUUGAUGAUGAUUGGAUCAAGUGUCGACUGAAUAAGCGAUAAAGACGGAUAAUUCAUUGCCCGUGCCAUCUCACGAGCUCAAAAAAAUACUUGAUGUUGUUGAUAGUUUUGUAUCUUUGACGAAAAGACUUGUGAUCUCUUGCUCUACUAUGCAUCCACUUUCAGAUCCUGAUGAACAUGGUGCUGGGACUAAGAAGAGAAAGAACAUUGUCAACAUCUCCUCUAAUUUCACCUAUUCCAUUUAGAUUUUGAAGUGGGGAAUUUAAUACAUUGAUGCAACGUUGAUACCACAGCUUUUAUCGCAUGUAUCCAUGAUCUUCCUAAUAACAUAUUAUAUGGCGAUUCCAUAUCCACGACCACAAUGUUACAUGUGUUUCGAUUUCUCCAAGUGGAAUUCGUACCACUAUUUCUCCUUUAGAUUUUGUUGUGGAUUUUCCAAAGCCGUGAACAAAAUAUGUUGAACUGGACAUUUCUUCGCCUUUAAAUCCCAUUCCCCGGAAUGCAUGAUAAAAUAUUAUAUCAACU